GCCCUAAUUAUUUAGCACAAAACUAAUAGGAAAUAGGAAUAAAAUGGAUAGUGUAAAUUUAAAAUUUGUAAAACAUGGAUUAUAUUUAAAAUCUCUAAAUGGAUAAUUUUUUGGAUAAUUAUUGUUUUAGGAAAAAGGAUAAUUACUUGCAAGAGAGAGAGAGAGAGAGUUUCUCUCUCAAUGACAACUUGCAUUUGCAUGGCAAUGCUGUGUUCCAACCCAACUCUCUCUCUAAUACCUCUCUUUUAUUUGUGUGUAUCCAUGUAUAUGUCUAUAUCCACUCACAGUAUUAAUUUUAAUAUUAUUAGUAUUAUUUUUUUCUUUCUAUGUGUUAUUGUAUGUAUAUAAUAUAAGUAAUUUCAAAGAAGGAUAGAAAGAAGUUUUCAGGGAAGGACUCGGAAGCUCUGAAUUCUCAGGGAAGGACUGUCCGGUCAUUAUAAAUACCAAAAAUCCUCCACAACAAUGUCACCACCCCAUAGAAGAAGACUUGUUGAUUUUCUCUCUUUUUUAGUUGAGUUUGUGAGAUUUUUGAAUUUGGGUUUUGAUUCAGGAUGACUAUCCUCAUUGAUCAACUUGAUUUUGGAGUUGAGGCUCAUGAGGAACAUGAGGAACAGAAGAUCCCAAACAAUGAAAAUGAAUUGGUGUUGGAUGGUGGAUUUGUGGUGCCAGAGAUCAAUUCAUUUGGCCAAAACUUUAGGUUUUUCUCUCUCCAUAAAAUCAUUAUAUAUAUUUCACUGUGAGGUCUGUGAUUGUUUCCCGAGAACCAAACAGUGUGAAUCAGUCCUAGAACAGGGAUUCCAUGCUUAACCUAGAUUGAUUUUGGCAACACAUACUGAAUAAAAUAAUAUAGUUUUAAUA
Non-coding RNA from Camellia sinensis, 858 nucleotides. NCBI's taxonomy places the organism in Eukaryota, Viridiplantae, Streptophyta, Magnoliopsida, Ericales, Theaceae. The record is from RefSeq and is a predicted model, not a curated record.